UACGUAGGGGGCAAGCGUUGUCCGGAUUUAUUGGGCGUAAAGAGCGUGUAGGCGGCCAUGCAGGUCCGUUGUGAAAACUCGAGGCUCAACCUCGAGACGUCGAUGGAAACCGCAUGGCUAGAGUCCGGAAGAGGAGAGUGGAAUUCCUGGUGUAGCGGUGAAAUGCGCAGAUAUCAGGAAGAACACCAGGGGCGAAAGCGGCCGACUGGUCGAGUGCUGACGCUGAGGCGCGACGGCGUGGGGAGCAAACCGG
This 253-nucleotide ribosomal RNA is filed under the name uncultured bacterium. Its description in RNAcentral is "partial 16S ribosomal RNA". It matches the Rfam family "Bacterial small subunit ribosomal RNA", at positions 524 to 776 of the family's 1533-position model. The record is from RNAcentral.